This 291-nucleotide unclassified non-coding RNA is filed under the name plant metagenome. RNAcentral describes it as "partial contains small subunit ribosomal RNA and internal transcribed spacer 1". The stretch from base 1 to 46 matches the Rfam family "Eukaryotic small subunit ribosomal RNA", at positions 1786 to 1831 of the family's 1831-position model. The record is from RNAcentral.
AAGUCGUAACAAGGUUUCCGUAGGUGAACCUGCGGAAGGAUCAUUAUUGAAUAAAUCUGGCGUUGGUUGUAGCUGGCUCUCCGGAGCAUGUGCUCGCCCGUCACCUUUAUCUUUCCACCUGUGCACACACUGUAGUCCUGGAUACCUCUCGCCGCAAGGCGGAUGCAGGGAUUGCCGCGUCCUCCUCGCGAGGUCGGCUCUCUCUGAAUUUCCAGGGCUACGAAAUUUACACACCCCAAACGUAUGUCAUAGAAUGUCAUCACUAGGCUUCGUGCCUAUAAACCUAUACAA